Amblyraja radiata (thorny skate) is the source of this 1755-nucleotide RNA transcript. It is a transcript of the gene named probable protein S-acyltransferase 6, with no coding region annotated. The transcript has 8 exons. NCBI's taxonomy places the organism in Eukaryota, Metazoa, Chordata, Chondrichthyes, Rajiformes, Rajidae. The record is from RefSeq and is a predicted model, not a curated record.
CUUAAAGGUCUCAUAUUGGUGUUAUAAAUAUCUAAGAUAUAAUUUUCAACUUUUCCAGGUGCGUUUGGCUGACAAGGAAUAUUACAAUUGCAGUGCCUAUCCUGCAAUCUCUAUUUUUGAUUUUUACUGUGAGCAGCUACGCUCUGUGUUUGUGUAUGAAUCCAGGAAUUAUUGCCAGAGAUUCUGUCGACAUCAGUGGGAUUCUGGAUGCCCCAGAGGUGAUCAUCAAUGGCACCAUAUUUACCAGCAAGUGGUGCCAUAUCUGUAAGAUCUACCGUCCCCCAAGAUGUCGACACUGCUACAGCUGCGAUGUGUGUGUAGAGGAUCUUGACCAUCACUGUUUCUUCCUUAAAAAGUGCAUUGGGAAAAGAAACCAUCGUUUUUUCUACACUUUACUCUUUUCCCUAACUGUCUAUUUUCUUCUCAUGUUUUCCUUCUGCACUAUCUUUCUAGUGAAGAAUCCCAAUGCAAUAUUUCUAUCCAAGAUCACCACUUUUAUUCUUGCUACAAUUUCGCUUCUUGCUUCUGUACCGUUAUUUUUCUUUUUCGUUUUUCACACUUACCUCAUCGCAGCUGGAAUGACCACGUAUGAGCAGAUUUUGAGGACAUAUAAAAAUGACAAGAAUCCUUUUCACAAAGGAUGUUGGAGAAACUUUACUGCCCUGUUGUUCGGUAACCAGCUAUCGAGUUGUACAACAGUGACUGAAGUCACUGUGAUCCCAGGUCAUCUGGUGGAAUGUCCAUCCGUCAGUUCAAAGUGUGCAGACACCACAUCUACGACUUUUAUAUCCAUCCUAUCUCGUUCCAAUGCUGUUGUUCCACUACCUGUCACUUUUGUUCCUACUUUACCCAACCGCCCUCAAAGUGCCCCCUUGCCCACUUUCUCUUACCUUAACGAAAACUCUGGUGCUCCAUUUCAAACUCUUUCCUCUCAACUGGCCUAUUUACCUGUUACCACAUUAUCUACCCAUUCCCCUGACAAUACCCACUCCAGCUCCCUCUCCUUAUAAAUGUCCUGCCUAAACCUUAACUGCCACUGCUCGGAUCAACAGAACUGGAACGAAUAUAACAAACUAUUUUCCUUGUUACCUUCUCACUUCCCACUUGUUGCCUUCUCACCCCACUUCCCUUCCCCUCUCUGCUUCUAUUUGGACUGAUGGAGGUGCAUUCUAAUGCCUGUGACCUGUGCAGCUAAAGGCGUGGUUGCCAAUGAAGGAACAACUGCAGUACUGAAACGGCUCCAGCACAAAUGUGACAUUUGGGCAAAAUGAUUCUCCCUCAACGUGGUUCAAGAAGUUAGCAAUUCACAAACGUCUGUGAGGACAGGAAGAGGCAUAGAGGUAACAUUCUACAAAUGUGACUUAUUGCGGUAGGUGAACUGCAGUGGGUCAAUGCUGAUUGGUAGACUGGAUGCAUUCCAGAGCCAGCCUCCAAAAGCAUGGAUGGAUGUCUGCUGUAUGGUGGUCAUUAAGGCAUGAGAUCUUGCUUUUCUUUGUCAUUGGGAUGAUAGUGGUCUUCCUGAAGCAGGUGAGAACGCAGUAGGGAGAGAUGAAAGAAAUCCAAGAAUACUCCCGCAGUAUGGCCCACGCAGUUUCUAAGGAUACAGCCAGUUGCUUUCACCCUCAGGAAGGCCAAGCUAACUUCAACAACAUUGACCAUGGGAAGAGGCAUAGUUGAGUCUGAUUGGAUAGAUGUCAUCACUCAUCACCCUGUUGACCUUCUGCUCAAAGGGAGCAUAGAAAACAUUAUGUUCAU